Molecule: RNase P RNA, 317 nt
Filed under: Candidatus Cryptobacteroides intestinipullorum
Lineage: Bacteria; Pseudomonadati; Bacteroidota; Bacteroidia; Bacteroidales
Description: RNase P RNA component class A
Rfam family: Bacterial RNase P class A
About the family: Ribonuclease P (RNase P) is a ubiquitous endoribonuclease, found in archaea, bacteria and eukarya as well as chloroplasts and mitochondria. Its best characterised activity is the generation of mature 5'-ends of tRNAs by cleaving the 5'-leader elements of precursor-tRNAs.
Source: RNAcentral
GAGGCGGGACGAUCUGCCGCGCAGAAUAUCUGUGAGGAAAGUCCGGACAGGAAAGGGCACUUCACUGCGGAAAGCGCAGAUAGGGGUAACCUUAUGGAUGACGUAACAGAAAAGAACCGCAUACUCCGUAUGCAAGGGUGAAAACGUGAGGCAAGAGCUCACGACGGGUAUUGGCGACAAUGCCCGGGUACGUCCCUGAAGCCUGCAAGACCAAAUAUACUGGCAACCAAGGGCUGCCCGUCCGAUGCCAGGGGGUAGGUUGCGUAGAUAAAUGGCAGAUUUAAAAACAGAAACCGGCUUACUGUCCCGCCUGCAGA